This 720-nucleotide ribosomal RNA is filed under the name uncultured bacterium. RNAcentral describes it as "bacterial SSU rRNA". It matches the Rfam family "Bacterial small subunit ribosomal RNA", at positions 667 to 1386 of the family's 1533-position model. The record is from RNAcentral.
UUCCAUGUGUAGCGGUGAAAUGCGUAGAUAUAUGGAGGAACACCGGUGGCGAAAGCGGCUCUCUGGUCUGUCACUGACGCUGAGGCUCGAAAGCGUGGGUAGCGAACAGGAUUAGAUACCCUGGUAGUNCACGCCGUAAACGCUGAGUGCUAGGUGUUAGGUCCUUUCCGGGACUUAGUGCCGACGCUAACGCAUUAAGCACUCCGCCUGGGGAGUACGACCGCAAGGUUGAAACUCAAAGGAAUUGACGGGGGCCCGCACAAGCGGUGGAGCAUGUGGUUUAAUUCGAAGCAACGCGAAGAACCUUACCAGGUCUUGACAUCCCGAUGCCCGCUCUAGAGAUAGAGUUUUACUUUUUGUACAUCGGAGACAGGUGGUGCAUGGUUGUCGUCAGCUCGUGUCGUGAGAUGUUGGGUUAANNNNNNCACCGAGCGCAACCCUUAUUGUUAGUUGCCAUCAUUAAGUUGGGCACUCUAGCGAGACUGCCGGUAAUAAACCGGAGGAAGGUGGGGAUGACGUCAAAUCAUCAUGCCCCUUAUGACCUGGGCUACACACGUGCUACAAUGGUUGGUACAACGAGUCGCAAGCCGGUGACGGCAAGCUAAUCUCUGAAAGCCAAUCUCAGUUCGGAUUGUAGGCUGCAACUCGCCUACAUGAAGUCGGAAUCGCUAGUAAUCGCGGAUCAGCACGCCGCGGUGAAUACGUUCCCGGGCCUUGUNC